Molecule: ribosomal RNA, 508 nt
Filed under: uncultured bacterium
Lineage: Bacteria
Description: partial 16S ribosomal RNA
Rfam family: Bacterial small subunit ribosomal RNA
Source: RNAcentral
AUUGAACGCUGGCGGCAUGCCUUACACAUGCAAGUCGAACGGCAGCGGGGGAGAAGCUUGCUUUUCCUGCCGGCGAGUGGCGAACGGGUGAGUAAUACAUCGGAACGUGCCCUGUAGUGGGGGAUAACUAGUCGAAAGAUUAGCUAAUACCGCAUACGACCUGAGGGUGAAAGUGGGGGACCGCAAGGCCUCAUGCUAUAGGAGCGGCCGAUGUCUGAUUAGCUAGUUGGGGGGGUAAAGGCCUACCAAGGCGACGAUCAGUAGCUGGUCUGAGAGGACGAUCAGCCACACUGGGACUGAGACACGGCCCAGACUCCUACGGGAGGCAGCAGUGGGGAAUUUCGGACAAUGGGCGAAAGCCUGAUCCAGCAAUGCCGCGUGUGUGAAGAAGGCCUUCGGGUUGUAAAGCACUUUUGUCCGGAAAGAAAUGGCUCUGGUUAAUACCUGGGGUCGAUGACGGUACCGGAAGAAUAAGGACCGGCUAACUACGUGCCAGCCGCCGCCGUAA